RNAcentral lists this ribosomal RNA (468 nucleotides) under uncultured bacterium. Its description in RNAcentral is "partial 16S ribosomal RNA". It matches the Rfam family "Bacterial small subunit ribosomal RNA", at positions 28 to 507 of the family's 1533-position model. The record is from RNAcentral.
GACGAACGCUGGCGGCGUGCUUAACACAUGCAAGUCGAACGGAAAGGCCCUGCUUUUGUGGGGUGCUCGAGUGGCGAACGGGUGAGUAACACGUGAGUAACCUGCCCUUGACUUUGGGAUAACUUCAGGAAACUGGGGCUAAUACCGGAUAGGAGCUCCUGCUGCAUGGUGGGGGUUGGAAAGUUUCGGCGGUUGGGGAUGGACUCGCGGCUUAUCAGCUUGUUGGUGGGGUAGUGGCUUACCAAGGCUUUGACGGGUAGCCGGCCUGAGAGGGUGACCGGCCACAUUGGGACUGAGAUACGGCCCAGACUCCUACGGGAGGCAGCAGUGGGGAAUAUUGCACAAUGGGCGGAAGCCUGAUGCAGCAACGCCGCGUGCGGGAUGACGGCCUUCGGGUUGUAAACCGCUUUCGCCUGUGACGGAGCGUGAGUGACGGUAAUGGGUAAAAAAGCACCGGCUAACUACGUG